GACGGAGGAUGCAAGCGUUAUCCGGAAUGAUUGGGCGUAAAGCGUCCGCAGGUGGCAGUUCAAGUCUGCUGUCAAAGACCGGGGCUUAACUUCGGAAAGGCAGUGGAGACUGAACAGCUAGAGUAUGGUAGGGGCAGAGGGAAUUCCUGGUGUAGCGGUGAAAUGCGUAGAGAUCAGGAAGAACAUCGGUGGCGAAGGCGCUCUGCUGGACCAUAACUGACACUCAGGGACGAAAGCUAGGGGAGCGAAUGGG
Molecule: ribosomal RNA, 253 nt
Filed under: uncultured bacterium
Lineage: Bacteria
Description: partial 16S ribosomal RNA
Rfam family: Bacterial small subunit ribosomal RNA
Source: RNAcentral